This 166-nucleotide ribosomal RNA is filed under the name uncultured Thermomonas sp. RNAcentral's name for it is "partial 16S ribosomal RNA". It matches the Rfam family "Bacterial small subunit ribosomal RNA", at positions 366 to 526 of the family's 1533-position model. Lineage: Bacteria; Pseudomonadati; Pseudomonadota; Gammaproteobacteria; Lysobacterales; Lysobacteraceae. The record is from RNAcentral.
GGUUUAUGAGCGCAGCCUGAUCCAGCCAUGCCGCGUGAGUGAAGAAGGCCUUCGGGUUGUAAAGCUCUUUCUGUUGGGAAGAAAGGCGUCGGUUAAUACCCUGUUUGUUUGACGGUACCAAUAGAAAAAGCACCGGCUAACUCCGUGCCAGCAGCCGCUAUAAUAA